Pezoporus occidentalis (night parrot) is the source of this 630-nucleotide long non-coding RNA. RefSeq lists it as uncharacterized. The transcript is spliced from 2 exons. NCBI's taxonomy places the organism in Eukaryota, Metazoa, Chordata, Aves, Psittaciformes, Psittacidae. The record is from RefSeq and is a predicted model, not a curated record.
UUGUUUAUUUUUACAAAAAAAAAGGUCAGUUAAUUUAUGGUAUUAAUUAUUUUUUUAAGGAGAAGUGUAGACUAUAGUUCUGGUCAAGACUACUAAAAAUACUUGAGUUUAGUUCUGAUUUGUCUGCAUUGAUAAAUGUGUAAAAUACUUGGCCCCAGACCAGCUAAAGCAAAUUAUAAACAUUUGCUUUAAAAACAGAACAAAACAGAUAGUUUAUAGAAUAUCCUGCCCCACUCCUCCACUAAGAUACCCACCUCCCCAGGCCUCCAGCCACCAGAAGUUACAUCAGGCAGCAAAAUCAGGAACAAAAAAAAAGGGUCGUUCUCAUUUUUCAGGCAGUUCAAUUCAUCUUGAAGCUGAUGCACUGAAAGCUGUUUCAUUUGAUGGAUUUCCAAAGAGCAAACUGAAGGAGCUGAGACAGAGCUGUACACCUAACAAAGGAGAUGGUACCUUUACAAGAGCUGUGGAUGCUUCAUCCUUGGAAAUGUUCAAGGCCAGGUUGGACGGGGGUUGGAGCAACCUGGAAGGUGUCUCUGCCCAUGGCAAGGAGCUGGAACUAGGUGAUCUUUAAUGUCUCUUCCAACCCAAAGCACUCUAUGAUUCUAUGAAUAAAUAACAGUGACAAAAACA